Molecule: non-coding RNA, 22 nt
Filed under: Mus musculus (house mouse)
Lineage: Eukaryota; Metazoa; Chordata; Mammalia; Rodentia; Muridae
Source: RNAcentral
UGGCCUCUAGAGUACACCUGGG